GAUGAAGAACGUAGCGAAAUGCGAUAAGUAAUGUGAAUUGCAGAAUUCAGUGAAUCAUCGAAUCUUUGAACGCACCUUGCGCCCUUUGGCCAUUCCGAAGGGCAUGCCUGUUUGAGUAUCAUGAACACCUCAACUCUUUAUGGUUUUCCAUGAUGAGCUUGGACUCUGGGGGUUUUGUUGGCUCACAGUCGGCUCCUCUGAAAUGAAUCAGCUUACCAGUGUUUGGUGGGUAUCAUAGGUGUGAUAACUAUCUACGCUUGUGGUUUUUCCACCAGGUAACCUUCAGCAGUGGAGGUUCGCUGGAGCUCAUAGAUGUCUCUCCUCAGUGAGGACAGCCCUUUGAAUGUUUGAUCUCAAAUCAGGUAGGACUACCCGCUGAACUUAAGCAUAUCAAUAAGCGGAGGA
This 405-nucleotide unclassified non-coding RNA is filed under the name soil metagenome. Its description in RNAcentral is "partial contains 5.8S ribosomal RNA, internal transcribed spacer 2, and large subunit ribosomal RNA". The stretch from base 1 to 121 matches the Rfam family "5.8S ribosomal RNA", at positions 35 to 154 of the family's 154-position model. The record is from RNAcentral.